RNAcentral lists this ribosomal RNA (984 nucleotides) under Russula acrifolia. Its description in RNAcentral is "partial large subunit ribosomal RNA". It matches the Rfam family "Eukaryotic large subunit ribosomal RNA", at positions 1 to 960 of the family's 3401-position model. The record is from RNAcentral. Lineage: Eukaryota; Fungi; Basidiomycota; Agaricomycetes; Russulales; Russulaceae.
UUGACCUCAAAUCGGGUGAGACUACCCGCUGAACUUAAGCAUAUCAAUAAGCGGAGGAAAAGAAACUAACAAGGAUUCCCCUAGUAACUGCGAGUGAAGCGGGAAAAGCUCAAAUUUAAAAUCUGGUGGCCUCUGGUCAUCCGAGUUGUAAUUUAGAGAAGCGUCUUCCGCGCUGGACCAUGCACAAGUCUCCUGGAAUGGAGCGUCAUAGAGGGUGAGAAUCCCGUCUUUGGCAUGGAUGCACCAGGGCUUCUGUGAUGCGCUCUCAAAGAGUCGAGUUGUUUGGGAAUGCAGCUCAAAAUGGGUGGUGAACUCCAUCUAAAGCUAAAUAUUGGCGAGAGACCGAUAGCGAACAAGUACCGUGAGGGAAAGAUGAAAAGCACUUUGGAAAGAGAGUGAAACAGUACGUGAAAUUGUUGAAAGGGAAACGCUUGAAGUCAGUCGCGUCGACCGAGACUCAGCCUCGCCUUGGCUUGGUGUACUUCUCGGCUGACGGGUCAGUGUCAAUUUUGGGCCUCGGAUAAUGACAAGGGAAAGGUGGCACCUUUAUAGGUGUGUUAUAGUCUCCUGUCGGAUGCGAGGGUCGGGAUUGAGGAACUCAGCACGCGCCUUUUGGUGUCGGGGCUUCGGCCUACGCUACGUGCUUAGGAUGCUGGCAUAAUGGCUUUAAACGACCCGUCUUGAAACACGGACCAAGGAGUCUAACAUGCCCGCGAGUGUUCGGGUGGAAAACCCGUGCGCGUAAUGAAAGUAAAAGUUGGGACCUCUGUCGUGGAGAGCACCGACGCCCGGACCAGACCUUCUGUGACGGAUCUGCGGUAGAGCGUGCAUGUUGGGACCCGAAAGAUGGUGAACUAUGCCUGAAUAGGGUGAAGCCAGAGGAAACUCUGGUGGAGGCUCGUAGCGAUUCUGACGUGCAAAUCGAUCGUCAAAUUUGGGUAUAGGGGCGAAAGACUAAUCGAACCAUCUAGUAGCUGGUUCCUG